AGCAUGUGGUUUAAUUCGAUGAUACGCGAGGAACCUACCUGGGCUCAAAUGUAUGUUGACGAUUCUGAAAGGGAUAACUUCUUCGGACAAUAUACAAGGUGCUGCAUGGUUGUCGUCAGCUCGUGCCGUGAGGUGUCGGGUUAAGUCCCAUAACGAGCGCAACCCCUAUCAUUAGUUGCCAUCAGGUCAAGCUGGGGACUCUAAAGGGACUGCCGGUGUUAAACCGGAGGAAGGUGGGGAUGACGUCAAGUCCUCAUGGCCUUUAUGACCAGGGCUACACACGUACUACAAUGGCCGAUACAAAGGGCAGCGACACUGCGAGGUGAAGCCAAUCCCGUAAAAUCGGUCUCAGUCCGGAUUGGAGUCUGCAACUCGACUCCAUGAAGUUGGAAUCGCUAGUAAUCGUGGAUCAGCAUGCCACGGUGAAUACGUUCCCGGGCCUU
Molecule: ribosomal RNA, 443 nt
Filed under: uncultured Desulfobulbus sp.
Lineage: Bacteria; Pseudomonadati; Thermodesulfobacteriota; Desulfobulbia; Desulfobulbales; Desulfobulbaceae
Description: bacterial SSU rRNA
Rfam family: Bacterial small subunit ribosomal RNA
Source: RNAcentral